UACAGAGGUGGCAAGCGUUGUUCGGAAUUACUGGGCGUAAAGGGCGCGUAGGCGGCCUUCUAAGUCAGACGUGAAAUCCCCAGGCUUAACUUGGGAACUGCGUCUGAUACUGGGAGGCUUGAGUGCGGGAGAGGGAUGUGGAAUUCCAGGUGUAGCGGUGAAAUGCGUAGAUAUGCGGAGGAACACCGAUGGCGAAGGCAAUCCCCUGGGCCUGCACUGACGCUCAUGCACGAAAGCGUGGGGAGCAAACAGG
This 253-nucleotide ribosomal RNA is filed under the name uncultured bacterium. RNAcentral describes it as "partial 16S ribosomal RNA". It matches the Rfam family "Bacterial small subunit ribosomal RNA", at positions 524 to 776 of the family's 1533-position model. The record is from RNAcentral.